GAGUUUGAUCCUGGCUCAGGAUGAACGCUGGCGGCGUGCCUAAUACAUGCAAGUCGAGCGGACAGAUAAGGAGCUUGCUCCUUUGACGUUAGCGGCGGACGGGUGAGUAACACGUGGGUAACCUACCUAUAAGACUGGAAUAACUCCGGGAAACCGGGGCUAAUGCCGGAUAAUAUUUAGAACCGCAUGGUUCUAAAGUGAAAGAUGGUUUUACUAUCACUUAUAGAUGGACCCGCGCCGUAUUAGCUAGUUGGUGGGGUAAUGGCUUACCAAGGCAACGAUACGUAGCCGACCUGAGAGGGUGAUCGGCCACACUGGAACUGAGACACGGUCCAGACUCCUACGGGAGGCAGCAGUAGGGAAUCUUCCGCAAUGGGCGAAAGCCUGACGGAGCAACGCCGCGUGAGUGAUGAAGGUCUUCGGAUCGUAAAACUCUGUUAUUAGGGAAGAACAAAUGUGUAAGUAACUGUGCACGUCUUGACGGUACCUAAUCAGAAAGCCACGG
Molecule: ribosomal RNA, 505 nt
Filed under: uncultured bacterium
Lineage: Bacteria
Description: bacterial SSU rRNA
Rfam family: Bacterial small subunit ribosomal RNA
Source: RNAcentral